This 344-nucleotide ribosomal RNA is filed under the name uncultured bacterium. RNAcentral's name for it is "bacterial SSU rRNA". It matches the Rfam family "Bacterial small subunit ribosomal RNA", at positions 917 to 1264 of the family's 1533-position model. The record is from RNAcentral.
GGGCCCGCACAAGCAGUGGAGCAUGUGGUUUAAUUCGAUGCAACGCGAGGAACCUUACCUAGGCUAGAAUGCGAGUGACAUCCAGAGAGAUCUGGAGUUCUUCGGACACAAAGCAAGGUGCUGCAUGGUUGUCGUCAGCUCGUGCCGUGAGGUGUUGGGUUAAGUCCCGCAACGAGCGCAACCCCUGUUUUUAGUUGCCAGCAAGUAAUGUUGGGGACUCUAGAAAGACUGCCUGCGUAAGCAGAGAGGAAGGAGGGGACGACGUCAAAUCAGCAUGGCCCUUAUGCCUAGGGCUACACACGUGCUACAAUGGCGUAUACAAAGGGUAGCGAACUAGUGAUGGU